AAGACUACACUUUCAGGGGUAAUUUCUAUAGUUUCUGACUUGAGAAAUGUGUUUCUAGAGUGUAUGGUCUCGCUGACCACGAUAAUGAGUUGUGAUGUUCCCUUUUAAGCAUAAAGUCAACAGACAACCAUGAUUUUGUCAUGUGUUUUCUGUCAUUGAUGAAUGUUUGUUAUUUCUUUUCAGAGCUUUGACAAAGGGAAUAUGACCUGAGUGGU
This 215-nucleotide small nucleolar RNA is filed under the name Oreochromis aureus. RNAcentral describes it as "Small nucleolar RNA U3 (ENSOABG00000002140.2)". It matches the Rfam family "Small nucleolar RNA U3". From Rfam's summary of the family: Small nucleolar RNAs (snoRNAs) are involved in the processing and modification of rRNA in the nucleolus. The record is from Rfam by way of RNAcentral. Lineage: Eukaryota; Metazoa; Chordata; Actinopteri; Cichliformes; Cichlidae.